AAAAAGCCCCAGUAAUAAAAUCACUGCCUUUACUCCUGAUUUUAUGAAGAAAAACUGACCUGAAGUAGAUUUAGAACUUCACUGCUUCCAUGAAGACAGAAAAGAAGUCCCACAAGGAUUUUCUGAGCGCAACCAUGACCAGCGCACUCUGCAGAAAAUACAAAGGAGCCCAAUGUACCCGGAACGCUUCACGCCUGGAAGGUAAACACCGCCAGCUCAACAACUCCGGGUUGUAUCAGAUUUAGUGCACACCCACAGCCGGCCAAACACACCCAGCACCGCCACACACCGCAGGUGCUGCGGCUCCGGCCCGUC
Molecule: long non-coding RNA, 315 nt
Filed under: Manacus vitellinus (golden-collared manakin)
Lineage: Eukaryota; Metazoa; Chordata; Aves; Passeriformes; Pipridae
Description: lncRNA (ENSMVIG00005015546.1)
Source: RNAcentral